RNAcentral lists this ribosomal RNA (451 nucleotides) under uncultured bacterium. Its description in RNAcentral is "partial 16S ribosomal RNA". It matches the Rfam family "Bacterial small subunit ribosomal RNA", at positions 354 to 796 of the family's 1533-position model. The record is from RNAcentral.
GUGGGGAAUAUUGGACAAUGGGGGGAACCCUGAUCCAGCCAUGCCGCGUGUGUGAAGAAGGCCUUUUGGUUGUAAAGCACUUUAAGCGAGGAGGAGGCUACCGAGAUUAAUACUCUUGGAUAGUGGACGUUACUCGCAGAAUAAGCACCGGCUAACUCUGUGCCAGCAGCCGCGGUAAUACAGAGGGUGCGAGCGUUAAUCGGAUUUACUGGGCGUAAAGCGUGCGUAGGCGGCUUUUUAAGUCGGAUGUGAAAUCCCCGAGCUUAACUUGGGAAUUGCAUUCGAUACUGGGAAGCUAGAGUAUGGGAGAGGAUGGUAGAAUUCCAGGUGUAGCGGUGAAAUGCGUAGAGAUCUGGAGGAAUACCGAUGGCGAAGGCAGCCAUCUGGCCUAAUACUGACGCUGAGGUACGAAAGCAUGGGGAGCAAACAGGAUUAGAAACCCUUGUAGUCC